RNAcentral lists this ribosomal RNA (514 nucleotides) under uncultured Chloroflexota bacterium. RNAcentral describes it as "bacterial SSU rRNA". It matches the Rfam family "Bacterial small subunit ribosomal RNA", at positions 355 to 888 of the family's 1533-position model. Lineage: Bacteria; Bacillati; Chloroflexota. The record is from RNAcentral.
UAGGGAAUAUUGCACAAUGGGCGAAAGCCUGAUGCAGCAACGCCGCGUGCGCGAUGAAGGCCUUCGGGUUGUAAAGCGCUUUUCGGGGAGAAGAGGAAGGACGGUAUCCCCGGAAUAAGGCUCGGCUAACUACGUGCCAGCAGCCGCGGUAAAACGUAGGAGCCAAGCGUUAUCCGAAUUCACUGGGCGUAAAGCGCGUGCAGGCGGCCUGGUAAGUUGGAUGUGAAAUCUCCUGGCUCAACUGGGAGAGGCCGUUCAAGACUGUCAGGCUGGAGGGCGACAGAGGGAGGUGGAAUUCCGGGUGUAGUGGGUGAAAUGCGUAGAUAUCCGGAGGAACACCAGAGGCGAAGGCGACCUCCUGGGUCGUACCUGACGCUGAGAUGCGAAAGCGUAGGGGAGCGAACGGGAUUAGAAACCCCGGUAGUCCUAGCCGUAACGAUGUAGACUGGGUGUCGGCGGGUGAAGCCGUCGGCGCCGAGCCAACGCGAUAGUCUACCGCCUGGGACUACGGCCG